UUCGCCACCUCAUGCAAAUCUACAGUGAUCUUGUUCCCAAGGUAUAAUAACAUGACUUGGUCCGAUCCUCUUCUAACGAGUAUGAUUGCUUGAGAGGCUAGACCCAAUCAACUCCUUUAGUUACACAAAUAAAAGAUUGCAAAAAAAGAGAAAAUGUUUAGUGGAAAAGAGAGGGGGAAUCUCUAUCUUAGAGUGGAAGAACUUUCUAUCUCGGAUUUCAAAUUUAGCUGACAGGAAGAGCUUUCUCUAUCUCUAAAUUAGAAG
This 264-nucleotide long non-coding RNA is filed under the name Elaeis guineensis (African oil palm). Its description in RNAcentral is "long non-coding RNA (EGUI_LNC033408)". Lineage: Eukaryota; Viridiplantae; Streptophyta; Magnoliopsida; Arecales; Arecaceae. The record is from RNAcentral.